GGACCUGCGAGGUCUACCAUGCAAGUCGAGCGGUAACAGAUCCAGCUUGCUGGAUGCUGACGAGCGGCGGACGGGUGAGUAAUGCAUAGGAAUCUGCCCGAUAGUGGGGGAUAACCUGGGGAAACCCAGGCUAAUACCGCAUACGUCCUACGGGAGAAAGGGGGCUCCGGCUCCCGCUAUGGGAUGAGCCUAUGUCGGAUUAGCUAGUUGGUGAGGUAACGGCUCACCAAGGCCACGAUCCGUAGCUGGUCUGAGAGGAUGAUCAGCCACAUCGGGACUGAGACACGGCCCGAACUCCUACGGGAGGCAGCAGUGGGGAAUAUUGGACAAUGGGGGCAACCCUGAUCCAGCCAUGCCGCGUGUGUGAAGAAGGCCCUCGGGUUGUAAAGCACUUUCAGCGAGGAAGAACGCCUAGCGGUUAAUACCCGCUAGGAAAGACAUCACUCGCAGAAGAAGCACCGGCUAACUCCGUGCCAGCAGCCGCGGUAAUACGGAGGGUGCAAGCGUUAAUCGGAAUUACUGGGCGUAAAGCGCGCGUAGGUGGCUUGAUAAGCCGGUUGUGAAAGCCCCGGGCUCAACCUGGGAACGGCAUCCGGAACUGUCAAGCUAGAGUGCAGGAGAGGAAGGUAGAAUUCCCGGUGUAGCGGUGAAAUGCGUAGAGAUCGGGAGGAAUACCAGUGGCGAAGGCGGCCUUCUGGACUGACACUGACACUGAGGUGCGAAAGCGUGGGUAGCAAACAGGAUUAGAUACCCUGGUAGUCCACGCCGUAAACGAUGUCGACCAGCCGUUGGGUGCCUAGCGCACUUUGUGGCGAAGUUAACGCGAUAAGUCGACCGCCUGGGGAGUACGGCCGCAAGGUUAAAACUCAAAUGAAUUGACGGGGGCCCGCACAAGCGGUGGAGCAUGUGGUUUAAUUCGAUGCAACGCGAAGAACCUUACCUACUCUUGAC
This 951-nucleotide ribosomal RNA is filed under the name Halomonas sp. RNAcentral describes it as "bacterial SSU rRNA". It matches the Rfam family "Bacterial small subunit ribosomal RNA", at positions 38 to 985 of the family's 1533-position model. Lineage: Bacteria; Pseudomonadati; Pseudomonadota; Gammaproteobacteria; Oceanospirillales; Halomonadaceae. The record is from RNAcentral.